Molecule: ribosomal RNA, 246 nt
Filed under: uncultured Legionella sp.
Lineage: Bacteria; Pseudomonadati; Pseudomonadota; Gammaproteobacteria; Legionellales; Legionellaceae
Description: partial 16S ribosomal RNA
Rfam family: Bacterial small subunit ribosomal RNA
Source: RNAcentral
GCGUUAAUCGGAAUUACUGGGCGUAAAGGGUGCGUAGGUGGUUAUGUAAGUUAUCUGUGAAAUCCCAGGGCUUAACCUUGGUGUGUCAGAUAAAACUGUGUAGCUAGAGUAUGAGAGAGGGUAGUGGAAUUUCCGGUGUAGCGGUGAAAUGCGUAGAGAUCGGAAGGAACACCAGUGGCGAAGGCGGCUACCUGGUUUAAUACUGACACUGAGGCACGAAAGCGUGGGGAGCAAACAGGAUUAGAU